RNAcentral lists this ribosomal RNA (379 nucleotides) under uncultured eukaryote. RNAcentral describes it as "partial 18S ribosomal RNA". It matches the Rfam family "Eukaryotic small subunit ribosomal RNA", at positions 592 to 975 of the family's 1831-position model. The record is from RNAcentral.
CAAUAGCGUAUAUUAAAGUUGUUGCGGUUAAAAAGCUCGUAGUUGGAUUUCUUCCAGGGGCAGUCGGUCCACACUACGUGUGCGUAUCUGAUUUGACUUUGGAAUCCUCUUGGGGAACAUCUCUGCGCUUAACUGCGUGGAAUGGUAUUCAAGACUUUUACUUUGAGGAAAUUAGAGUGUUCACGGCAGGCAAUCGCCCUGAAUACAUUAGCAUGGAAUAAUAAUAUAGGAUUUCGGUUCUAUUUUGUUGGUUUCUAGAGCUGAGAUAAUGAUUAAUAGGGACACUUGGGGGCAUUCGUAUUAUCACGUCAGAGGUGGAAUUCUUGGAUUGUGUUACGACGAACUACUGCGAAAGCAUUUGCCAAGGAUGUUUUCAUUG